CCUACGGGUGGCAGCAGUGAGGAAUAUUGGUCAAUGGGCGCGAGCCUGAACCAGCCAAGUAGCGUGAAGGAUGACUGCCCUCCGGGUUGUAAACUUCUUUUAUAAAGGAAUAAAGUGAGGCACGUGUGCCUUUUUGUAUGUACUUUAUGAAUAAGGAUCGGCUAACUCCGUGCCAGCAGCCGCGGUAAUACGGAGGAUACGAGCGUUAUCCGGAUUUAUUGGGCUUAAGGGGAGCGUAGAUGGGGUGUUAAGUCAGUUGUGAAAGUUUGCGGCUCAACCGUAAAAUUGCAAUUGAUACUGGCAGUCUAGAGUACAGUUGAGGUAGGCAGAAUUCGUGGUGUAGCGGUGAAAUGCUUAGAGAUGACGAAGAACUCCGAUUGCGAAGGCAGCUUACUAAACUGCCACUGACAUUGAUGCGCGAAAGUGUGGGUAGCAAACAGGAUUAGAUACCCCGGUAGUC
Molecule: ribosomal RNA, 460 nt
Filed under: uncultured bacterium
Lineage: Bacteria
Description: partial 16S ribosomal RNA
Rfam family: Bacterial small subunit ribosomal RNA
Source: RNAcentral